This 208-nucleotide unclassified non-coding RNA is filed under the name Hevea brasiliensis (rubber tree). Lineage: Eukaryota; Viridiplantae; Streptophyta; Magnoliopsida; Malpighiales; Euphorbiaceae. The record is from RNAcentral.
AGGUUGUUGAUCGUAUUAAGAAGUACUUCGACAUUUUGGGAGGACCUGCAACCUUCAUCCAGGCAGCAGUACCUUGCAUUCUUGAGCAAACAGAUGAAGUUUUUUUCAAGAAAACCAUCAAUAUACUGAAGCAGGCAUCAGAGAUUUGUUGUGAUAGGAUAAAGGAGAUCCCUUGCAUCACUUGUCCGCACGAGCCUCAGGGAUCUAU